CUAAACUAUACCAAAACAAAUUUCACACAUGAAAAUAGUUAUCCUGUAGACAAGGUUACGUUUACAAUAAUCUGAUGAGUGACAAUAUUAGGCCUAUCAGUUGUCAUAUUGAACAUGAAGAGAUGUGAGCAUCUUGUAAUUGACAGAUGCAGUGAAAGGAGCAUCUCUUUAUCAAAUCCUCAUUCAGAGUCACAUGCAGGUAACACAUUGUGAUUUCUAUAUAGUACUGUAUCUGAAAGAGCAGAUUCUGCAGGUUAAACAUUGUGAUUUCUAUAUAAUACUGUAUCUGAAAGAGCAGAUUCUGCAGGUUAAACAUUGUGAUUUCUAUAUAAUACUGUAUCUGAAAGAGCAGAUUCUGCAGGUUAAACAUUGUGAUUUCUAUAUAGUACUGUAUCUGAAAGAGCAGAUUCUGCAGUUUCCUUGACACUUACCUUUAUCAAAUAACUCU
This 448-nucleotide long non-coding RNA is filed under the name Salmo salar (Atlantic salmon). RNAcentral's name for it is "lncRNA (ENSSSAG00000098322.1)". Lineage: Eukaryota; Metazoa; Chordata; Actinopteri; Salmoniformes; Salmonidae. The record is from RNAcentral.